Long non-coding RNA from Triticum dicoccoides, 2048 nucleotides. RefSeq lists it as uncharacterized. The transcript has 5 exons. Lineage: Eukaryota; Viridiplantae; Streptophyta; Magnoliopsida; Poales; Poaceae. The record is from RefSeq and is a predicted model, not a curated record.
CGCCGCCGCCGUCGCGUCUUCUCCUCCUCCCCGCCCUCUCGGUGCUCCUACCAGGCGAGCGCGAGCGCGAGCAGCCAGAGAGGAACGGCCACGGGCCUCUCCCUUAGCGGCGUCGGCGCCGGCGGCUCACUCUGCAGGCCCCCUGCCCCGUGGGGCUCAUUGCCCCCUCCCUCCGCGGCGCCGGUGCCGGCGGCUCCCUCCUCCGUAGGCUCCCUGCCUCGUGGGGCCUGGCGGCCUCGCGCGCGGACGACUCGUCGCCGGCGCCUCCUUCAACUAGAUCCUGUGCGCCAAGAAGGCCGUUGCUGCCUCCUGCAAGGACGAACCAGACGCCGUCGCCCAGGUGAGCUGAUUUGGACCUUUUCAUCUUGGUCUGUGCAGAAUUGGAGCCUUUGAAUGAUUUGAAUGGAGCAUACGUAUGCAUGCUACGGUUCAUCUUAGGAGAGGCACAACCUCUGGCACACCGAAGAGACAGACAUGGCUUCCAUGAAGAAUUUCGUCGAAGUGACUGCGGAUGACCCACAGGACUCCAGCAGCAACCAUAUUAUCAAAAGGUCAAGGAGCAACAAUUUGAUAUGCAUCCGUGAUAAAGAAGGUAAAACUUGAAUAUAGCCUCCUGCAACAUUAUAAGAUUACUUUGUGGUACAAAAUAUCAUGCACUGUCUUACACAUAAUUGUUGGCCAUUCUAAAAAUAUGGAUUCUACAUUGAAUUUGUCUUGGACUUCUUAAUUUAACCUCCGUGCAUGUUCUUAUGACAUUGAAUUUGAGCGAGCGAGCGAGAGGAGUACAUUACUUAUUCCACUUCUAAGCUACGCUUGUGCCCCUGUUCCUACGAAGUGUAUGGACGUGCCUAUAACUAAACAUAAAAAUAGGAUAGACACUAAAUGCUUUGAAGGAGCAGAGAUUGUAACUACACAGAAGCAUCACUAUGUAGGUAAUUGCUAUGAUAGUUAAGAUUAUUGUUGCUUGAUGCCGUGUCUAAGCUGCAGGUAUACCAUUGUUUUUGUACCUUUUCUAUUUAUAUGCUUCUACAGAGUACUUGGUGCAUGUACAUGCUUCACUAAAUCAUUUCCUUAUGAGCCAGAAUAAGAUUUUUAAAGUUGGUAGUUGCACUACAUGCUGAGAUUGUUCAUUUGUGAAGUACUUUGUGCAAAUGAUUAUUCUCGGUUCUUUGCCUCAUAUAACUACAAAUGAGGAGGUAUGAAGGGUCGACUAAGAAACUGAGUCAAACUACUUGAUUUAAGGUAUACUUUGGCAAUUUCCUUUGAUCCUUUUUGUUCCUCUUCUCACGUGUGUUAUUAGCCUUUUAACAAGCCUUUGUUUUCUAGAAUUUCUUCAAAUGUUGAGAAGAAUAUUUUGCUGAUUACUGAGUAGAUGAACUGGCAACAGGUGUAUAUUUGUUGUAGUUUUGAUGUAGUCACUGUUCAGUUCUUUUUUCAGAUGUUAUGUUUCUACAAUGUAAAAUCUGUUUCUGUGUAAACCCAUCACACACUUCUGCAUGCCUUAAUGAUCUUGUGCUUCUUUUCAUAGUAUAGAUGCAGCAUAGCUUGAUAUUAUUUUAGUUAGCACGGUGCAAAUCAUACCAAAAAAAAUACACAUGCUUGCCCUCUGUGAAGAACCACUAUUACUAUAUAUGUUCUACUUUGUACCGAAUCAUAUGUAUAUUGUGCUUGCCCCUAAAUUGUUGCUUUACACUAAACCACUAUUACUAUAUUAUGCUUUGAUAUGAGUUUUGGUGCUUUCUACUGAAAAUCAAGCUUUUAUGGAAAUUAUGCCCUUAUGUGAGUCUUCGGGCCUUGCUGAGUAUUUUUAUUGUUGUGAAGGCAUCAUCAUAGGUGAUUGUAGUUAAAUUGCCUCCUUCACACUUACAUCCACCAUCAAUCAGAUCUGGCAGCUACAUGGAGACAUGGAACGCACCAUCAUUUUGUCGGACCAAGUGUGGAGUUAGCUAUGGAAUUUACACCAUCAACAAACACAUAAAGGCCUGCAAGCUAUCCUCGCAAGUAGGGCAUUUACAUGCUCUAAGUCAAUCUGUUAGGGAGAAAACAAG